GGGUUGUGAGGUUAAGCGACUAAGCGUACACGGUGGAUGCCCUGGCAGUCAGAGGCGAUGAAGGACGUGCUAAUCUGCGAAAAGCGUCGGUAAGGUGAUAUGAACCGUUAUAACCGGCGAUGUCCGAAUGGGGAAACCCAGUGCAAUUCGUUGCACUAUCGUUAACUGAAUACAUAGGUUAACGAGGCGAACCGGGGGAACUGAAACAUCUAAGUACCCCGAGGAAAAGAAAUCAACCGAGAUUCCCCCAGUAGCGGCGAGCGAACGGGGAGCAGCCCAGAGUCUGAAUCAGCUUGUGUGUUAGUGGAACGGUCUGGAAAGUCCGACGGUACAGGGUGAUAGUCCCGUACACCAAAAUGCACAGGUUGUGAACUCGAAGAGUAGGGCGGGACACGUGGUAUCCUGUCUGAAUAUGGGGGGACCAUCCUCCAAGGCUAAAUACUCCUGACUGACCGAUAGUGAACCAGUACCGUGAGGGAAAGGCGAAAAGAACCCCGGCGAGGGGAGUGAAAAAGAACCUGAAACCGUGUACGUACAAGCAGUGGGAGCACCUUCGGGUGUGACUGCGUACCUUUUGUAUAAUGGGUCAGCGACUUAUAUUCUGUAGCAAGGUUAACCGUAUAGGGGAGCCGCAGGGAAACCGAGUCUUAACUGGGCGUUAAGUUGCAGGGUAUAGACCCGAAACCCGGUGAUCUAGCCAUGGGCAGGUUGAAGGUUGGGUAACACUAACUGGAGGACCGAACCGACUAAUGUUGAAAAAUUAGCGGAUGACUUGUGGCUGGGGGUGAAAGGCCAAUCAAACCGGGAGAUAGCUGGUUCUCCCCGAAAGCUAUUUAGGUAGCGCCUCGUGAACUCAUCUUCGGGGGUAGAGCACUGUUUCGGCUAGGGGGUCAUCCCGACUUACCAACCCGAUGCAAACUACGAAUACCGAAGAAUGUUAUCACGGGAGACACACGGCGGGUGCUAACGUCCGUCGUGAAGAGGGAAACAACCCAGACCGCCAGCUAAGGUCCCAAAGUCAUGGUUAAGUGGGAAACGAUGUGGGAAGGCACAGACAGCCAGGAUGUUGGCUUAGAAGCAGCCAUCAUUUAAAGAAAGCGUAAUAGCUCACUGGUCGAGUCGGCCUGCGCGGAAGAUGUAACGGGGCUAAACCAUGCACCGAAGCUGCGGCAGCGACACUAUGUGUUGUUGGGUAGGGGAGCGUUCUGUAAGCCUGCGAAGGUGUGCUGUGAGGCAUGCUGGAGGUAUCAGAAGUGCGAAUGCUGACAUAAGUAACGAUAAAGCGGGUGAAAAGCCCGCUCGCCGGAAGACCAAGGGUUCCUGUCCAACGUUAAUCGGGGCAGGGUGAGUCGACCCCUAAGGCGAGGCCGAAAGGCGUAGUCGAUGGGAAACAGGUUAAUAUUCCUGUACUUGGUGUUACUGCGAAGGGGGGACGGAGAAGGCUAUGUUAGCCGGGCGACGGUUGUCCCGGUUUAAGCAUGUAGGCUGGUUGUCCAGGCAAAUCCGGAUAAUCAAGGCUGAGGUGUGAUGACGAGGCACUACGGUGCUGAAGUAACAAAUGCCCUGCUUCCAGGAAAAGCCUCUAAGCAUCAGGUAACAUCAAAUCGUACCCCAAACCGACACAGGUGGUCAGGUAGAGAAUACCAAGGCGCUUGAGAGAACUCGGGUGAAGGAACUAGGCAAAAUGGUGCCGUAACUUCGGGAGAAGGCACGCUGGUGUGUAGGUGAAGUCCCUGCGGAUGGAGCUGAGACCAGUCGAAGAUACCAGCUGGCUGCAACUGUUUAUUAAAAACACAGCACUGUGCAAACACGAAAGUGGACGUAUACGGUGUGACGCCUGCCCGGUGCCGGAAGGUUAAUUGAUGGGGUUAUCCGUAAGGAGAAGCUCUUGAUCGAAGCCCCGGUAAACGGCGGCCGUAACUAUAACGGUCCUAAGGUAGCGAAAUUCCUUGUCGGGUAAGUUCCGACCUGCACGAAUGGCGUAAUGAUGGCCAGGCUGUCUCCACCCGAGACUCAGUGAAAUUGAACUCGCUGUGAAGAUGCAGUGUACCCGCGGCAAGACGGAAAGACCCCGUGAACCUUUACUAUAGCUUGACACUGAACAUUGAGCCUUGAUGUGUAGGAUAGGUGGGAGGCUUUGAAGCGUGGACGCCAGUCUGCGUGGAGCCAACCUUGAAAUACCACCCUUUAAUGUUUGAUGUUCUAACGUUGGCCCCUGACCGGGGUUGCGGACAGUGUCUGGUGGGUAGUUUGACUGGGGCGGUCUCCUCCCAAAGCGUAACGGAGGAGCACGAAGGUUAGCUAAUCCUGGUCGGACAUCAGGAGGUUAGUGCAAUGGCAUAAGCUAGCUUGACUGCGAGCGUGACGGCGCGAGCAGGUGCGAAAGCAGGUCAUAGUGAUCCGGUGGUUCUGAAUGGAAGGGCCAUCGCUCAACGGAUAAAAGGUACUCCGGGGAUAACAGGCUGAUACCGCCCAAGAGUUCAUAUCGACGGCGGUGUUUGGCACCUCGAUGUCGGCUCAUCACAUCCUGGGGCUGAAGUAGGUCCCAAGGGUAUGGCUGUUCGCCAUUUAAAGUGGUACGCGAGCUGGGUUUAGAACGUCGUGAGACAGUUCGGUCCCUAUCUGCCGUGGGCGCUGGAGAAUUGAGGGGGGCUGCUCCUAGUACGAGAGGACCGGAGUGGACGCAUCACUGGUGUUCGGGUUGUCAUGCCAAUGGCACUGCCCGGUAGCUAAAUGCGGAAGAGAUAAGUGCUGAAAGCAUCUAAGCACGAAACUUGCCCCGAGAUGAGUUCUCCCUGAGACUUUAAGUCUCCUGAAGGAACGUUGAAGACGACGACGUUGAUAGGCCGGGUGUGUAAGCGCAGCGAUGCGUUGAGCUAACCGGUACUAAUGAACCGUGAGGCUUAACCUUACAACGCCGAAG
RNAcentral lists this ribosomal RNA (2923 nucleotides) under Klebsiella pneumoniae. RNAcentral describes it as "bacterial LSU rRNA". It matches the Rfam family "Bacterial large subunit ribosomal RNA". The record is from RNAcentral. Lineage: Bacteria; Pseudomonadati; Pseudomonadota; Gammaproteobacteria; Enterobacterales; Enterobacteriaceae.